UACUUAUCACGUUUGACAAGUACAGAGGACAAAUUAUUGUCUGAAGCUCUCCUUGUAUCAAAAUCCUCAUAAAACCAUAGUAAGAAAAGUUAGUUUAACUCUAUGAGUUCAUUAGCAAAAUAUUUAGACAUAGAUUUAUUGCAAGUUUUUAAUAUGAAAUCAAACUUGAAAAGAUUUAUUUUAAACAAACUAAACUUAAAGUAUAAUAAGUUGCGGUAUUCAUCUUUAACUGAUGACAGAAAAAUAUGUCAUUUGGAAAUAAACUUAGAACUUACAGACUUUUUAAGAGAAAUAUAUAUUUUGAACCUUAUUUGGCUAUAGGUAAUAGAAAUCUGAGAAUUCAGAUGACAAAAUUCAGAAUUAGUAACCAUGAUCUAGAAAUAGAGAGAGGUAGAUACAGAGGACUUCAGGCA
RNAcentral lists this long non-coding RNA (413 nucleotides) under Mytilus galloprovincialis (Mediterranean mussel). Lineage: Eukaryota; Metazoa; Mollusca; Bivalvia; Mytilida; Mytilidae. The record is from RNAcentral.